UCGGAAAAGAAAACGAAAGUCCCCAAGUGCCUCGGUUGCCGUUGCAGAUGGGUGGCUUUGAAUGGCGCCUUCCGGCACCACCCUACCCCACUCUUUCGGACCCCAAACGUUGGACAUUUUGGCCCAGGUGACUUGUGGUUUUACCGUCCCUGUCCAGAAACCAGAACUGGCCGAUAACACCUCUGUAGCUGAACGCUUGUAAGAAGUAAAACUUUGCGUUUUACCAAUUUUCGU
This is a long non-coding RNA of Aplysia californica (California sea hare), 234 nucleotides long. RefSeq lists it as uncharacterized. The transcript is spliced from 2 exons. NCBI's taxonomy places the organism in Eukaryota, Metazoa, Mollusca, Gastropoda, Aplysiida, Aplysiidae. The record is from RefSeq and is a predicted model, not a curated record.